UCAGACGAUGCGUCAUGCAUAUCAAUAAGCGGAGGAAAAGAAACUAACAAGGAUUCCCCUAGUAACGGCGAGUGAAGCGGGAAGAGCUCAAAUUUGAAAUCUUAAAGGGUUUCCCUUUACGAAUUGUAGUUUAAAGAAGUGUUUUCUGUUGAGGUUUUGGUAAAAGUUCUUUGGAAUAGGACAUCAUAGAGGGUGAGAAUCCCGAAUUUGACCUUUACUUUCAACUUUGUGAUACACUUUCAAAGAGUCGGAUUGUUUGGGAAUGCAGUCCAAAAUGGGUGGUAAAUUUCAUCUAAAGCUAAAUAUUGGCGAGAGACCGAUAGCGAACAAGUACCGUGAGGGAAAGAUGAAAAGAACUUUGAAAAGAGAGUUAAACAGUACGUGAAAUUGUCAAAAGGGAAGCGUUUGACACCAGUGUUGUUUUUCUGAAAAUCAAUUAAAGAACUGUUUAUGCUAAGUUGUUUAGACUUUAUCAGCUAACUGUUUAGUUUUGAGCUUUUCUUUAAUGCACUUUUCAGUUAACAAGUCAACAUCAAUUUCUUUUGCUGUAAAAAAGCUUGAGGAAGGUGGCUUGAGAUUCGUCUUAAGUGUUUAUAGCCUCUUGCCUAUACAGUCGGAGAGAUUGAGGUCUGCAGCGUAGAUCCUUCGGGGCUAAAUGCAUUUGUGCUAAGUUAUAGCAUUUUAUAGACAACUUGUUGACUAUGAUUUGUCUUGUAGCUUACUCGCUUAUGUUAUUUUACCUACGCUUAGGAUGUUGACACACGCGCGUGCUCG
Molecule: ribosomal RNA, 774 nt
Filed under: uncultured Neocallimastigales
Lineage: Eukaryota; Fungi; Neocallimastigomycota; Neocallimastigomycetes; Neocallimastigales
Description: partial large subunit ribosomal RNA
Rfam family: Eukaryotic large subunit ribosomal RNA
Source: RNAcentral